GCCGGGCGUGGUGGCGCAAGCUUGUAGUCCCAGCUUGGGAGGCUGAGGCUGAAGGAUCGCUUGAGCCCUGGAGUUGUGGGCUGCAGUGCGCUGUGCCGAUCGGGUAUCCACACUAAGGUCGACAUUAAUAUGGUGACCUCCUGGGAGUAGGGGACCACCAGGUUGCCUAAGGAGGGGUGAACCGGACCAAGUCGAAAAAGAGAACUGGAGCACCAAACUGACCUAUGAAGUUCUAUGAAAAGACCUAGUAGCAUAUACAUAUAAGUCCUGUGUUCUACUACUGAACCACCUCUC
RNAcentral lists this signal recognition particle RNA (294 nucleotides) under Erinaceus europaeus (western European hedgehog). RNAcentral's name for it is "Metazoan signal recognition particle RNA". It matches the Rfam family "Metazoan signal recognition particle RNA". Rfam says of the family: The signal recognition particle (SRP) is a universally conserved ribonucleoprotein. It is involved in the co-translational targeting of proteins to membranes. The eukaryotic SRP consists of a 300-nucleotide 7S RNA and six proteins: SRPs 72, 68, 54, 19, 14, and 9. Lineage: Eukaryota; Metazoa; Chordata; Mammalia; Eulipotyphla; Erinaceidae. The record is from Rfam by way of RNAcentral.